RNAcentral lists this ribosomal RNA (253 nucleotides) under uncultured bacterium. RNAcentral's name for it is "partial 16S ribosomal RNA". It matches the Rfam family "Bacterial small subunit ribosomal RNA", at positions 524 to 776 of the family's 1533-position model. The record is from RNAcentral.
CACGUAGGGUGCGAGCGUUAUCCGGAUUUAUUGGGCGUAAAGAGCGUGUAGGCGGCCAGACAGGUCCGUUGUGAAAACUAGAGGCUUAACCUCUAGACGUCGAUGGAAACCGUCUGGCUAGAGUCCGGAAGAGGAGAAUGGAAUUCCUGGUGUAGCGGUGAAAUGCGCAGAUAUCAGGAAGAACACCCGUGGCUAAGGCGGUUCUCUAGUACGGUACUGACGCUGAGACGCGAAAGCGUGGGGAGCGAACAGG